Molecule: ribosomal RNA, 460 nt
Filed under: uncultured bacterium
Lineage: Bacteria
Description: bacterial SSU rRNA
Rfam family: Bacterial small subunit ribosomal RNA
Source: RNAcentral
AACGAACGCUGGCGGCAUGCCUAACACAUGCAAGUCGAACGGGAUCCGGACUUCGGUCCGGUGAGAGUGGCGGACGGGUGAGUAACACGUGGGAACCUGCCUUUUGGUUCGGGAUAACCGCGGGAAACUGCGGCUAAUACCGGAUGCUCCCGAGAGGGGAAAGAUUUAUCGCCAGAAGAGGGGCCCGCGUCCGAUUAGGUAGUUGGUGGGGUAAUGGCCUACCAAGCCGACGAUCGGUAGCUGGUCUGAGAGGAUGAUCAGCCACACUGGGACUGAGAUACGGCCCAGACUCCUACGGGAGGCAGCAGUGGGGAAUAUUGGACAAUGGGGGCAACCCUGAUCCAGCAAUGCCGCGUGAGUGAUGAAGGCCUUAGGGUUGUAAAGCUCUUUUGCCAGGGAAGAUGAUGACUGUACCUGGAGAAUAAGCCCCGGCUAACUUCGUGCCAGCAGCCGCGGUAAU